CGGGGAGUAGCGCAGCCUGGUAGCGCAUCUGCUUUGGGAGCAGAGGGUCGCUGGUUCGAAUCCAGUCUCCCCGACCA
Molecule: transfer RNA, 77 nt
Filed under: Erythrobacter sp.
Lineage: Bacteria; Pseudomonadati; Pseudomonadota; Alphaproteobacteria; Sphingomonadales; Erythrobacteraceae
Also listed under: 28 other names
Description: tRNA-Pro
Rfam family: tRNA
About the family: Transfer RNA (tRNA) molecules are approximately 80 nucleotides in length. Their secondary structure includes four short double-helical elements and three loops (D, anti-codon, and T loops).
Source: RNAcentral